This is an RNA transcript of Pan troglodytes (chimpanzee), 3435 nucleotides long. It is a transcript of the gene named glycoprotein alpha-galactosyltransferase 1 (inactive), with no coding region annotated. Lineage: Eukaryota; Metazoa; Chordata; Mammalia; Primates; Hominidae. The record is from RefSeq and is marked validated. The transcript is spliced from 7 exons.
CACGUGCAGGCCCGAGAAGGCAAAAGAGGCCCAGCCACUCUCACCGGAGAUUUUAUCCGCCUCCCCGGCACACACACACUCUCACUCACGCACUCGCUCGCCGGCCUUCCAGCUGUCUGUGUCCGGGGCGGGGACCGGCUUGGCACCGACCGCUGCGGGCGGGGCAGAGCGCGCCGCCCGCUGUCAGCGCUCGCCGGCUCCUCGCGCCCCUGCCCGCUGCGCUCUGCCCAGAGCAGAAGCCCGGCCGGCCGGCCCACGGGCGGGAGGACGGGCCUCCGCUCGGGCGGAGGCGGCGCGGUGGCUGAUCAGAGAGCGGAGGGCCUCGCCGGGGCCGGGAGCUGGGCGCGGUCCUGCUCAGCCCAGCUCGCCGCGCGCCGGCCCUCGGCGCCCUGGUUCUGCGGAUCAGGAGUUGAAACCAGCACCUUCCCUUUCUCUGAGUCCUGCCUCCUUCUGCAGAAGGGAGCUCAAAAGAACUUUGUUGUUUUGCCUUUUACUCUGGGGUGAAAGCGGCAGACGAUGAGGAGAAAAUAAUGAAUGUCAAAGGAAAAGUAAUUCUGUCAAUGCUGGUUGUCUCAACUGUGAUCAUUGUGUUUUGGGAAUUUAUCAACAGCACAGAAGGCUCUUUCUUGUGGAUAUAUCACUCAAAAAACCCAGAAGUUGAUGACAGCAGUGCUCAGAAGGGCUGGUGGUUUCUGAGCUGGUUUAACAAUGGGAUCCACAAUUAUCAACAAGGGGAAGAAGACAUAGACAAAGAAAAAGGAAGAGAGGAGACCAAAGGAAGGAAAAUGACACAACAGAGCUUCGGCUAUGGGACUGGUUUAAUCCAAAAUAUAGUGAGCAUUACUUGGAGGAGUUCAUAACAUCUGCUAAUAGGUACUUCAUGGUUGGCCACAAAGUCAUAUUUUACAUCAUGGUGGAUGAUGUCUCCAAGGUGCCGUUUAUAGAGCUGGGUCCUCUGCAUUCCUUCAAAAUGUUUGAGGUCAAGCCAGAGAAGAGGUGGCAAGACAUCAGCAUGAUGCGUAUGAAGAUCACUGGGGAGCACAUCUUGGCCCACAUCCAACACGAGGUCGACUUCCUCUUCUGCAUGGAUGUGGACCAGGUCUUCCAAGACCAUUUUGGGGUGGAGACCCUAGGCCAGUCAGUGGCUCAGCUACAGGCUGGCGGUACAAGGCAGAUCCCUAUGACUUUACCUAGGAGAGGUGGAAAGAGUCAGCAGGAUACAUUCCAUUUGGCCAGGGGAUUUUUAUUACCAUGCAGCCAUUUUUGGAGGAACACCCAUUCAGGUUCUCAACAUCACCCAGGAGUGCUUUAAGGGAAUCCUCCUGGACAAGAAAAAUGACAUAGAAGCCGAGUGGCAUGAUGAAAGCCACCUAAACAAGUAUUUCCUUCUCAAUAAACCCUCUAAAAUCUUAUCCCUAAAAUACUGCUGGGAUUAUCAUAUAGGCCUGCCUUCAGAUAUUAAAACUGUCAAGUGAUCGUGGCAGACAAAAGAGUAUAAUUUGGUUAGAAAUAAUGUCUGACUUCAAAUUGUGCCAGUAGAUUUCUGAAUUUGAGAGAGAAAUAUUCUGGCUACUUCCUCAGAAAAGUAACACUUAAUUUUAACUUCAAAAAAUACUAAUGAAACACCAACAGGGCAAAAACAUACCAUUCCUCCUUGUAACUUGGGGCUUUGUAAUGUGGAAGAAUGAAUCUAGGGUAAUCAGAUAUAAAUUCCCAGUGAUUUCUUAUCUAUUCUGGGUUUGGGGGAAAUACUAUCAACUGAACCAAAAAUAACUUGUCAUAGGCAGAGAUAAAGCCAGAAACACUCUACACAUGCCAGAUGACAUCUGGAGAAAAGGGUGCUAAGGGAAGCGUUUGGCAGCAAGAUAUGAUUGUAAGGGGUUGUCCCUUGAGUUCAAUGUCUGCCUAUUUCUGAUGGGUCUAAAGCAACAUGGAGUUACUGUGCAGCAGAGCUCUCAGUAAAGACACCAUUUGCCUUGGCAAUCCUCAAAAAGCUUCAAUAGCAGAUUGCUUCAGACCAUCUGUAGUCCGUCCUUUUCUCAUCUGGAUGUUGUUUGGCUUCUGUGCGAAAGAUUGGUGGAGUAUCCCAGUAGAUAUCAUGGUGGUGUGUGAUCAGAGUCCCAAGGAACCUGAAUGAGCCAAGGUGCCCAGCAUGAAGUCAAAACAAAGCCUUGACAUGAGUUUGCCAUGAAAUAGCGAAGAGAGAGUGGAAGAGAGGAGCCAAUCACUGUGGGGCAGUGCCACCCUGAGGGCACUUAGGGUAUGGGGUUGGUGCUUAAAUACAUCACAGAUCCGGGUACUGAAUGGGAGGAAGUGUGGGUGAUUUCCAAUCUCAUUGACCCUAUGUUCAGGGACUUGAACGGAAGAUGUUUCUUGUGUUGCCUAAGUGGUAUUCAGUCUACCAGACUCUGCAACUUGCAUCUUCAAAUCCUUGGUAAAGAGAUGUGGAUGGUGUCAGAGAAGGCAAAGGCCUGCAGUGGAUUGAAGAGGCUUGCAAGCAGUUCUGUUUCUAGGAUGUGGGCUUCAUCAGAAGACACUCAGUCACCACUUAGCUAGUCUAAACCUCAGGGUUCCUCAGCCCAUCAUACCCCAACUUGGAGGACUGACAUCAAGGAGUAGACUGGAGAAACAGCCCUCCCAUCAAGUAACCUCUUGUUCUCUCCUGCUCCAUCUGCACUAUGGAAGUGUAACAAUUAGACAUACUUGGCAAAAUGGCUAAUUGAUUUGGUAACAGAAGCAUGAGCCAUAACAAUGGAAGAUCUAGUUAUCAUGACUGAACAGCUUAACAUUCAAUUCCCUUCUCUAAGAGAAGCUGUGAAAUCCUACAUAUUAUUUAAAGUUAACCAAAUCAAUGUAAAGGGAGUUAGGAGACAGUGUGUACCUAUGCACAUAUAUUUAUGUUUUGCUUGUGUUCCAGUCUCGGUCAUUUGUUUCCAUUUUCAAGCAAUUUAUUUGAAGAGCCAUUGCACUAGCCUGAUGUAUACUGCAAUGAGCUUCUUUGAUAAAAUGAAACUUAGAUUUUUCUCGACCAUUUCACCGUGCCUCCUACUUCAUUUUUUGCCAGAAAAUCUCACAUCCAACAAAACAAAACAAAAACCCUGAAUUAGUGGGCUUUGAAAAGGAAAAAGCAGGGCUUUGAAAAAGUAGAUCACACAUCAGUUAAGACUCCUGCUUCUCUAUUAGUCAGGUUGUCUUGGAUUCAGUCUGGAGUAGGCAGAGCUUAAGGGUUUUUAAGUCCUGACCCAAAGAAAUGAUCUAGCCUGAAAGUUUAGAGCAAAGGACUAAUGUUUACUUUUAAAGGAAUUUCUUGAUUUUUUAAAAAAACUUCAUUAAAGUUUAAAUCUCCAAUGGACAAAUUCAUAAUCUUGUUCAUCGUUAUUACUAAACUUUUUUUUAAAUGUCCCAAUUUACAAUUAAAUAAAUUAUUUUCUCAGU